Molecule: long non-coding RNA, 729 nt
Organism: Oncorhynchus tshawytscha (Chinook salmon)
Lineage: Eukaryota; Metazoa; Chordata; Actinopteri; Salmoniformes; Salmonidae
Source: Ensembl
GUAGCCUAGUGGUUAGAGUGUAGAGGAGGCAGGUAGCCUAGUGGUUAGAGGGUAGAGGAGGCAGGUAGCCUAGUGGUUAGAGUGUAGAGGAGGCAGGUAGCCUAGUGGUUAGAGUGUAGAGGAGGCAGGUAGCCUUGUGGUUAGAGGGUAGAGGAGGCAGGUAGCCUAGUGGUUAGAGUGUAGAGGGGGUAGGUAGCCUAGUGGUUAGAGUGUAGAGGAGGCAGGUAGCCUAGUGGUUAGAGUGUAGAAGGGGUAGGUAGCCUAGUGGUUAGAGUGUAGAGGCGGCAGGUAGCCUAGUGGUUAGAGGGUAGAGGUAGGUAGCCUAGUGGUUAGAGGGUAGAGGAGGCAGGUAGCCUAGUGGUUAGAGUGUAGAGGAGGCAGGUAGCCUAGUGGUUAGAGUGUAGAGGAGGUAGGUAGCCUAGUGGUUAGAGUGUAGAGGAGGCAGGUAGCCUAGUGGUUAGAGGGUAGAGGAGGCAGGUAGCCUAGUGGUUAGAGUGUAGAGGUGGCAGGUAGCCUAGUGGUUAGAGUGUAGAGGAGGCAGGUAGCCUAGUGGUUAGAGUGUAGAGGCGGCAGGUAGCCUAGUGGUUAGAGUGUAGAGGUGGCAGGUAGCCUAGUGGUUAGAGUGCAGAGGAGGCAGGUAGCCUAGUGGUUAGAGUGUAGAGGAGGCAGGUAGCCUAGUGGUUAGAGUGUAGAGGAGGCAGGUAGCCUAGUGGUUAGAGUGUAGAGGAG